Non-coding RNA from Podarcis lilfordi (Lilford's wall lizard), 205 nucleotides. The record is from the annotation of a GenBank genome assembly. Lineage: Eukaryota; Metazoa; Chordata; Lepidosauria; Squamata; Lacertidae.
GCAGAGGGCCUUCUUGGUGGUGGUGCCCUCCCUGUGGAACACCCUCCCACCAGAUGUCAAAGAACAACAACUACUAAACUUUUAGAAGACAUCUGAAGGCAGCCCUGUUUAGGGAAGCUUUUAAUGUUUGAUGCAUUACUGUAUUUUAAUAUGUUGUUGGAGGGUGUUCCACAGGGCGGGCGCCACCACCGAGAAGGCCCUUUAG